Molecule: ribosomal RNA, 406 nt
Filed under: uncultured bacterium
Lineage: Bacteria
Description: partial 16S ribosomal RNA
Rfam family: Bacterial small subunit ribosomal RNA
Source: RNAcentral
AUUGAACGCUGGCGGCAGGCCUAACACAUGCAAGUCGAACGAGUGGCGGACGGGUGAGUAAUGCGUGGGAAACUGGCUGAUGGAGGGGGGUAACUACUGGAAAAGGUAGCUAAUACCGCAUACCCUCGGAUGUGCCCAGAUGGGAUUGGCUGGUGGGUGGGGUAAAGGCUCGCCUGGGCGACGAUCCCUAGCUGGUCUGAGAGGAUAACCGGCAACACUGGAAUGGGGACACGGCCCAGACUCCUACGGGAGGAAGAGGUGGGAAUUAUUGGCCAAUGGGCGAAAGCCGGAUCCAGACAUGCCGCGUGUGUAAAGCAGGUCUUCGGUUUGUAAAGCACUUUAAGUUGGGAGGCGUUACCAGCAGAAUAAGCACCGGCUAACUUCGUGCCAGCAGCCGCGGUAAUAC